Molecule: long non-coding RNA, 1053 nt
Filed under: Homo sapiens (human)
Lineage: Eukaryota; Metazoa; Chordata; Mammalia; Primates; Hominidae
Description: non-protein coding lnc-KRT9-2:1
Source: RNAcentral
AAAGCAUCCCUGGAGAACAGCCUGGAGGAGACCAAAGGUCGCUACUGCAUGCAGCUGGCCCAGAUCCAGGAGAUGAUUGGCAGCGUGGAGGAGCAGCUGGCCCAGCUCCGCUGCGAGAUGGAGCAGCAGAACCAGGAGUACAAGAUCCUGCUGGACGUGAAGACGCGGCUGGAGCAGGAGAUCGCCACCUACCGCCGCCUGCUGGAGGGCGAGGACGCCCACCUCUCCUCCUCCCAGUUCUCCUCUGGAUCGCAGUCAUCCAGAGAUGGUAAGACCCUCCUCCUCUGCAGGCCUGGGCUCCAGGCCACCCUCUGUACCCCAAGCAGGUCUAGGCAUUGGCUAGGGGCUCCGUGAGGGGCUGAGCUCUAGUGCUGUCACCCAGUUUCCCUUGUGAACCUCCUUGGGUGGAAGAAGCUAUUUUCUAAACCCUCCUUAGGGCUAGGAGAGGCAGCCCCCACCUCUUGCUUCUACGUGGUGUCUGUGGCAGAUCCUAUUGCUGUUGUGGUCAGCACCAUGAACAGGGCCCUACAGGGCUCUUCCCACUGAGACCACUCCAUUGGGUGAAUAUGGAUGGAACCAGCCAGGUGUGAGCUCUUAGGAAGCUCUAAUCUGAGGGCAAAGACUCUGUCUCUGACCUUUGGGAGCCCUCGUCUGAAAGAAAUGUGUUGAUGGUAUCAGUGCUUGGGCAACAGCAGGGAGUGAAGCAGUAAUCAGGGGAGAGGGCAAUGGGGAGCCAGUUUGAGUUUCCUCACCUUCUUGGCCUCCUUACUCCUGAUUAGUCCAUUGUCUGUCCACCUCUGGUAACGUCCUCUUCCCACCUCUUCCCCAGUGACCUCCUCCAGCCGCCAAAUCCGCACCAAGGUCAUGGAUGUGCACGAUGGCAAGGUGGUGUCCACCCACGAGCAGGUCCUUCGCACCAAGAACUGAGGCUGCCCAGCCCCGCUCAGGCCUAGGAGGCCCCCCGUGUGGACACAGAUCCCACUGGAAGAUCCCCUCUCCUGCCCAAGCACUUCACAGCUGGACCCUGCUUCACCCUCACCCCCUCCUGGCAAU